AAUCAUGGCUCAGGAUGAACGCUAGCUACAGGCUUAACACAUGCAAGUCGAGGGGCAUCAGGAAGAAAGCUUGCUUUCUUUGCUGGCGACCGGCGCACGGGUGAGUAACACGUAUCCAACCUGCCCUUUACUCGGGGAUAGCCUUUCGAAAGAAAGAUUAAUACCCGAUAGCAUAAUGAUUCCGCAUGGUUUCCUUAUUAAAGGAUUCCGGUAAAGGAUGGGGAUGCGUUCCAUUAGGUUGUUGGUGAGGUAACGG
Molecule: ribosomal RNA, 256 nt
Filed under: uncultured bacterium
Lineage: Bacteria
Description: partial 16S ribosomal RNA
Rfam family: Bacterial small subunit ribosomal RNA
Source: RNAcentral